Molecule: long non-coding RNA, 3619 nt
Filed under: Olea europaea (common olive)
Lineage: Eukaryota; Viridiplantae; Streptophyta; Magnoliopsida; Lamiales; Oleaceae
Description: long non-coding RNA (OEUR_LNC004518)
Source: RNAcentral
UUCUGAGGAAAAAAUUUUAUGGGGUUCCACUAGAGAGUAAUUAUAUUAAAUAUUUGUAAUUAACACUUACGAUAUUCGUGUUCAAGAGAAUUGCUUGAAUUAUUGAGGUUUUUGAUAAAAGAACAAAUGGAGUCCUAGUUUAAAAAAUUUGGACCUCAAUCGUUGUCUAGAGAUACUAGUUUAAGUCCAUCUCGUGACAAAGGACUACCUUCUCUCUGGACAAAGAAAAAACACUAAUUAUUUUUAAUUUUAAUGGUGUUCCGUUUUGGGAAUGUGUGAAUGCACGCGCAGAAGAAAUUAUCAUACAAAAUUGGUUGUUUCUUGAAUAUAAAUUCAUGCAAGUAAAUGUCACCUUCUUGGUAGUUGAAUUGAACAAAAUUAGAAAUCCUUAAUAAAGAAAAAUAUCAAAAAUGUUUACAAUUGCGUUAUACCGUCCAAGGUAUCAAAUGUUACUUCAUAGGAAUAUGGUAUGCUCAAGGGUGGAUGUAGCAGGGACAGGACCGAGCUAUAGGCCGGUCCAAUUUCCAACCCAUUUCAUUUUGGUUCGGCUUUAUUUAUUUAUUUUAAUUUCGGUCCUAAAUUUGUACUUAAGUACGUUGGUAUGCCACGAACAUCUACGCAUGUAACGUUGAGCCUCGAAACCCCAAUCAAAGACUUUUGAUUUGACUAUGAACUAAAAUUCUCAACAUUAACGAAAUGUGAGAUUUUGCUACAAUAUGAAACGGAAAGAUGGCUAGAUUUAACGAAAUGUUGGCAGAUUUUGUCAUCUCUUUGUUUUGGGAUGGAAAAGGCCUUUAAAAUAAAUAAUUUUACAUCUUCAAUUCUGAAAACAUGUCUCAUAUAAAUUUUUAUUUUAAUCUAACAAUUAUAAAUAUCGAAUUUUUUUACAAUUUUUUCUUUAUUUUACUGAAAUAAUUGUAUGUUUUAAUAUUGUAGUUUGGCUUGUUAGGUCCCAACAUCUAAUACAUCUUCUUUUUUUUUUUUUUUUUUUCCUGGCUAGAGAUUUAAUUAGUUUUCGCAAUUUAGGAAAUCUAUUUUGUCGGAGAAUUGCGGCUAUUUUUAAGAUAAAUUUUGAUUUUGGACCGUGCUACAGAGCCCUGGUUAAAAUCUCGAGCUCCAAUCCAGGGCCGAGGUGCCACCCCGGCCGUAGAUCUUCUGCACUUGGGGGGCCCGCCAUCAAAAAUCGGGGGCAGAGGCUCUACCACCUCUGCCCCUGGAAUGGAACCCGGGAUUUAAUUCCGGGUUCUUCGGCAUUUUCCUUAAAAGUGUAUAUUAAUAUCGGAAACAUAGAAAUCAAUAAGGACUAUAAAUAUGCUAGUCCUUGGUAAUGGUAGCCUCACACUAUGUUUGAAAAAGCCUACGUACAUAUAUUAAACAUGAUUAUCGUUUAAGUUGAAGUUUUAAACUUACAUACCAUAGCUUAAUCAACAUUUUGAGUAGAUCCUUCCAUCUCUCAACCGAUCAUUAAAAAUCUUAAAAAUAUUCAUAUUAUCAAUUUUUAUUUGUAUGCUUUCUGCCCCCUCCACUGGCUUUUGUGUCUAUACAUACAUACAUGAUGCAGGAUAACAAUGGCUAUGGGAUUAUUCUAUUUGGGACUAACGGACACCACAGCUACAUAUGCCACCAAUUUCUUGAAUCUAAUCCCAGUUGUCACCUUUAUCUUCUCAUCAAUCCUAAGGUAUGUAUACAUGUAAAUCAUUGACCGCUUGCAAGAAGCGAGCUAGGGGAGUACAAGGGUUUUUCUUUUUUUUUUUUAACUGGACUAAUAUAUAGGGAAAAAAAUAUAUUUUUUUAUACUUAGCUGAUAAAUAGAAGAAAAAUGUAUUCAUAAAUAUUUUCACAUAUAAAAGAAAAUAAAUGGGCUCCCCAUCUUCCAUGAACUGUAUUGAAAGUCUAAGAUUUUUACUUUUAUCUUUUAAAAAUCAGUGAGCUAACUUUUCUGAGGAAAAAAUUUUAUGGGGUUCCACUAGAGAGUAAUUAUAUUAAAUAUUUGUAAUUAACACUUACGAUAUUCGUGUUCAAGAGAAUUGCUUGAAUUAUUGAGGUUUUUGAUAAAAGAACAAAUGGAGUCCUAGUUUAAAAAAUUUGGACCUCAAUCGUUGUCUAGAGAUACUAGUUUAAGUCCAUCUCGUGACAAAGGACUACCUUCUCUCUGGACAAAGAAAAAACACUAAUUAUUUUUAAUUUUAAUGGUGUUCCGUUUUGGGAAUGUGUGAAUGCACGCGCAGAAGAAAUUAUCAUACAAAAUUGGUUGUUUCUUGAAUAUAAAUUCAUGCAAGUAAAUGUCACCUUCUUGGUAGUUGAAUUGAACAAAAUUAGAAAUCCUUAAUAAAGAAAAAUAUCAAAAAUGUUUACAAUUGCGUUAUACCGUCCAAGGUAUCAAAUGUUACUUCAUAGGAAUAUGGUAUGCUCAAGGGUGGAUGUAGCAGGGACAGGACCGAGCUAUAGGCCGGUCCAAUUUCCAACCCAUUUCAUUUUGGUUCGGCUUUAUUUAUUUAUUUUAAUUUCGGUCCUAAAUUUGUACUUAAGUACGUUGGUAUGCCACGAACAUCUACGCAUGUAACGUUGAGCCUCGAAACCCCAAUCAAAGACUUUUGAUUUGACUAUGAACUAAAAUUCUCAACAUUAACGAAAUGUGAGAUUUUGCUACAAUAUGAAACGGAAAGAUGGCUAGAUUUAACGAAAUGUUGGCAGAUUUUGUCAUCUCUUUGUUUUGGGAUGGAAAAGGCCUUUAAAAUAAAUAAUUUUACAUCUUCAAUUCUGAAAACAUGUCUCAUAUAAAUUUUUAUUUUAAUCUAACAAUUAUAAAUAUCGAAUUUUUUUACAAUUUUUUCUUUAUUUUACUGAAAUAAUUGUAUGUUUUAAUAUUGUAGUUUGGCUUGUUAGGUCCCAACAUCUAAUACAUCUUCUUUUCUUUUUUUUUUUUUCCUGGCUAGAGAUUUAAUUAGUUUUCGCAAUUUAGGAAAUCUAUUUUGUCGGAGAAUUGCGGCUAUUUUUAAGAUAAAUUUUGAUUUUGGACCGUGCUACAGAGCCCUGGUUAAAAUCUCGAGCUCCAAUCCAGGGCCGAGGUGCCACCCCGGCCGUAGAUCUUCUGCACUUGGGGGGCCCGCCAUCAAAAAUCGGGGGCAGAGGCUCUACCACCUCUGCCCCUGGAAUGGAACCCGGGAUUUAAUUCCGGGUUCUUCGGCAUUUUCCUUAAAAGUGUAUAUUAAUAUCGGAAACAUAGAAAUCAAUAAGGACUAUAAAUAUGCUAGUCCUUGGUAAUGGUAGCCUCACACUAUGUUUGAAAAAGCCUACGUACAUAUAUUAAACAUGAUUAUCGUUUAAGUUGAAGUUUUAAACUUACAUACCAUAGCUUAAUCAACAUUUUGAGUAGAUCCUUCCAUCUCUCAACCGAUCAUUAAAAAUCUUAAAAAUAUUCAUAUUAUCAAUUUUUAUUUGUAUGCUUUCUGCCCCCUCCACUGGCUUUUGUGUCUAUACAUACAUACAUGAUGCAGGAUAACAAUGGCUAUGGGAUUAUUCUAUUUGGGACUAACGGACACCACAGCUACAUAUGCCACCAAUUUCUUGAAUCUAAUCCCAGUUGUCACCUUUAUCUUCUCAUCAAUCCUAAGGUACU